RNAcentral lists this ribosomal RNA (305 nucleotides) under uncultured bacterium. RNAcentral describes it as "bacterial SSU rRNA". It matches the Rfam family "Bacterial small subunit ribosomal RNA", at positions 337 to 639 of the family's 1533-position model. The record is from RNAcentral.
UCCUACGGGGGGCAGCAGUGAGGAAUAUUGGUCAAUGGUCGGGAGACUGAACCAGCCAAGCCGCGUGAGGGAUGAAGGUACAGAGUAUCGUAAACCUCUUUUGUCAGGGAACAAAGGCGGGGACGCGUCCCCGGAUGAGUGUACCUGAAGAAAAAGCAUCGGCUAACUCCGUGCCAGCAGCCGCGGUAAUACGGAGGAUGCGAGCGUUAUCCGGAUUUACUGGGUGUAAAGGGAGCGUAGACGGUUCUGCAAGUCUGAAGUGAAAGCCCGUGGCUUAACCGCGGAACGGCUUUGGAAACUGUGGG